This 428-nucleotide long non-coding RNA is filed under the name Homo sapiens (human). Its description in RNAcentral is "HSALNT0113746". The record is from RNAcentral. Lineage: Eukaryota; Metazoa; Chordata; Mammalia; Primates; Hominidae.
AGAUACUUAGAAGCACACUGAGAGGCGAAUAUCUCACAUUUUUCAUCCAAAAAGAAUAGAGUUCACUGGAAUUUUAAAAGAAAAAUAACAGAACUUAUGUUUUAUCUUAUUUUUCUAACUAAUUUUAGUGUGUGGGAAAACACUGGCAAAAUAUCAUACUUACAGCAUCUUGAAAACCAAAGAGUACCACCUGGACUUGGCUAAUGCCAUGGCUGUCGAAGUCCAGCUCCAGUUUCAGCUUUGACAGUGUGGUGGCUAUGAUUUUUCGGUCAGUGGAUCUCACAAAUUCUCUGAGGCUUGCAAUGAGGGUUGUGAUGUGUUCCCAUUUUAGUUUCGGUUCUUCAGCCCCCUGUGAAUAAAAAUCAACAAUCCUUACAUCAACAUAUGCUGGAUAUACCUGCCAUGGUAAUCCUAUCUCCAUACCCCCU